Molecule: ribosomal RNA, 443 nt
Filed under: uncultured bacterium
Lineage: Bacteria
Description: SSU rRNA
Rfam family: Bacterial small subunit ribosomal RNA
Source: RNAcentral
AGAGCGAACGCUGGCGGCAGGCUUAACACAUGCAAGUCGAGCGCCCCGCAAGGGGAGCGGCAGACGGGUGAGUAACGCGUGGGAACGUACCUUUGGUUCGGAACAACACAGGGAAACUUGUGCUAAUACCGGAUAAGCCCUUACGGGGAAAGAUUUAUCGCCGAAAGAUCGGCCCGCGUCUGAUUAGCUAGUUGGUGAGGUAACGGCUCACCAAGGCGACGAUCAGUAGCUGGUCUGAGAGGAUGAUCAGCCACAUUGGGACUGAGACACGGCCCAAACUCCUACGGGAGGCAGCAGUGGGGAAUAUUGGACAAUGGGCGCAAGCCUGAUCCAGCCAUGCCGCGUGAGUGAUGAAGGCCCUAGGGUUGUAAAGCUCUUUUAACGGGGAAGAUAAUGACGGUACCCGUAGAAUAAGCCCCGGCUAACUUCGUGCCAGCAGCCGC